Molecule: ribosomal RNA, 497 nt
Filed under: uncultured bacterium
Lineage: Bacteria
Description: partial 16S ribosomal RNA
Rfam family: Bacterial small subunit ribosomal RNA
Source: RNAcentral
GACGAACGCUGGCGGCGUGCCUAAUACAUGCAAGUUGAGCGCUGAAGGUUGGUACUUGUACCAACUGGAUGAGCAGCGAACGGGUGAGUAACGCGUGGGGAAUCUGCCUUUGAGCGGGGGACAACAUUUGGAAACGAAUGCUAAUACCGCAUAAAAGCUUUAAACACAAGUUUUAAGUUUGAAAGAUGCAAUUGCAUCACUCAAAGAUGAUCCCGCGUUGUAUUAGCUAGUUGGUGAGGUAAAGGCUCACCAAGGCGAUGAUACAUAGCCGACCUGAGAGGGUGAUCGGCCACAUUGGGACUGAGACACGGCCCAAACUCCUACGGGAGGCAGCAGUAGGGAAUCUUCGGCAAUGGACGAAAGUCUGACCGAGCAACGCCGCGUGAGUGAAGAAGGUUUUCGGAUCGUAAAACUCGGUUGGUAGAGAAGAACGUUGGUGAGAGUGGAAAGCUCAUCAAGUGACGGUAACUACCCAGAAAGGGACGGCUAACUACGUG